AUGGGGUGCUUUUGGAGUACAAGGGAAUCCCAAAGCCAUUCCUUCCCUUCUGCUACACGUCAUUUACUCGUUAUUUGUAGAGUUUUCCCCUGUAAAAAGGAAGUUCACAUUUCCCUUUUGAAAAUGCACUUACUCAGUAAGAUGGAGUCAGGUUACUUUUUUUUAAUUUUUUGCUCUUACCACAAUGUCACUGCACAAUAGAACAGGAAAGGGAAGUGUAACACCUUAUUUUGCAAUGCUGAGAACAUGAGGAGGUGUGCAACUGUGUAUUAUUCUCUGCAUCAUCUGUAUGCAACUUUUUUUUUUUUGUUUACAACUGCUUUUUGUUGCUGUUCAAGCAAAGAAGGAAAUUGGAAAAGAGAACUAAGACAUCAAAAUGCACCAAAAAUUAGUUUCACGUGGAAGAAAGGGAUAUAAAAGUGGCCUAGACAAAAUUAAGGAGAAUUUCUGAACUAGAAACAAGGGUGUCAAGCUCAUGUUGUUGAAGACAAGCAUGUAAGAGCUCAGACAUGUUUCUUCAUUCGCAGUGAAUUAAAGUGAAACUGAGACUGCUGAGAACACGAACUCUUUAAUUUGGUAUGCAUUUCCUUAGCUGUAAGUUGUUACAAGUGCUAUCCCAAGUGGAUUGUGGCUGUUACCAGGCAGCAGAGACCAAAAUUGUAGAUGCAAACAAAAAUUCCUCUGGCCUCAUGACAUGGGAAGGGGGAUCUGCCCAUCAGGCCGAGCUUUGCUUUGACUGGUAAUUCUUGCCUAAACUAAUUGGUGCGUGGCACUGUUUUAGCCUUGUGUGAUAAGCAAGAAAACGUUGUGCUAGUAAAUCUUACAGCUAAAUCUUUUUGGAUGAGGCGUCGGUGGGGCCUGUGAGGGCUGGAAGUGUUUUUUAAACCACUCUGCUCUUGAUAUGAGGUCCUCGGGCUCCUUACAGCCAUUAGGGUCGGAGGAGACCUCCGAGAUCCCCUGCUCCACCACCACUAUCACCCACUGACCGUGUCCCCAAGCACCACGUCCAGCCUCUCCUUCAACACCCCUGUGCCACCUCAGGGAUGCCACCUCCCUCUACCUUCCUUCCAGAGGAAUAAAAACAAAAACAAAACAACAAAAAAACAAACACCAGGCGCUAUGGCCGCAGCCCGGGGGCGGUGCUGCUGAGGCAGGUGCCUCCCUCCGCGGCCACGGCGGGGCCGCUGCCACGUCAGGGGAGUUUCCCGGGGCCGGGCUCUGCCUUCCUCCUCCUCCUCCUCCUCCUCCCGUCCCUCCUUCUCCUCCUCCUCCUCCUCCUCCUCGUCGCUCGUCCCCCGCUGCCGGCGCCGCGCUGCCCGCCGCCAUGGAGGGCCGCUACAACCUCAAGAACCCCGGAUUCCGCAAUGGAUUAGUCAAUGUAUACGGCCUGCUACCGUAUGGCCGAUAAACCUCUCCCAGCAGUAUUAAAGCUCGGCUGACCACAGCACAGACUUCAUGCUCGCCAUGCUUCAGGAACAGCCCUGUUGCUGAAAUUUAUAAGACACCUACUUGGAAUAAGCGCUUGGCUUUUUUCAAACGCUGUGACCCUCAGGCUGCCACGAGGCAGACCCCAAAUCUUGUAGUCAUGCUUUUGUAGCAACAGGAUUCCUCGGCCUCCUCUUUCACGUGGGAUGUUACCAGGCGUCUUAGCAGGUAUUAGCACUGAGGUGUGUGAGGAAUUAUGAACAGCUACUCACAUAGAGCCUACAAAGAACAGAGAUAUUUUGUUUUCAGUGUGUUUUUAUUUGUUUUUAGCAGACUUCUUUAUCUCAAGGCUGCCUGGUGGGGCUGCGGAGAGCAAAUGGAGCGUACGUACGUCCUGCGUUUGCCCAGGGACAGUGCCUGUGCAUCCCGGGCAUGCAGGGAACACAGCGUGCCUAGAUUGUGAUCCUCUUAGCCAUCAUCUGUAUUAUGCUUGCUGCAGGGUAAAUAAAUGCUUUUCCUAUGAACUGUACUUUUCUCUC
RNAcentral lists this long non-coding RNA (1964 nucleotides) under Anas platyrhynchos platyrhynchos (common mallard). Its description in RNAcentral is "lncRNA (ENSAPLG00000021202.1)". Lineage: Eukaryota; Metazoa; Chordata; Aves; Anseriformes; Anatidae. The record is from RNAcentral.